RNAcentral lists this ribosomal RNA (1540 nucleotides) under Staphylococcus aureus M16220. Its description in RNAcentral is "16S ribosomal RNA". It matches the Rfam family "Bacterial small subunit ribosomal RNA". Lineage: Bacteria; Bacillati; Bacillota; Bacilli; Caryophanales; Staphylococcaceae. The record is from RNAcentral.
AGAGUUUGAUCCUGGCUCAGGAUGAACGCUGGCGGCGUGCCUAAUACAUGCAAGUCGAGCGAACGGACGAGAAGCUUGCUUCUCUGAUGUUAGCGGCGGACGGGUGAGUAACACGUGGAUAACCUACCUAUAAGACUGGGAUAACUUCGGGAAACCGGAGCUAAUACCGGAUAAUAUUUUGAACCGCAUGGUUCAAAAGUAAAAGACGGUCUUGCUGUCACUUAUAGAUGGAUCCGCGCUGCAUUAGCUAGUUGGUAAGGUAACGGCUUACCAAGGCAACGAUGCAUAGCCGACCUGAGAGGGUGAUCGGCCACACUGGAACUGAGACACGGUCCAGACUCCUACGGGAGGCAGCAGUAGGGAAUCUUCCGCAAUGGGCGAAAGCCUGACGGAGCAACGCCGCGUGAGUGAUGAAGGUCUUCGGAUCGUAAAACUCUGUUAUUAGGGAAGAACAUAUGUGUAAGUAACUGUGCACAUCUUGACGGUACCUAAUCAGAAAGCCACGGCUAACUACGUGCCAGCAGCCGCGGUAAUACGUAGGUGGCAAGCGUUAUCCGGAAUUAUUGGGCGUAAAGCGCGCGUAGGCGGUUUUUUAAGUCUGAUGUGAAAGCCCACGGCUCAACCGUGGAGGGUCAUUGGAAACUGGAAAACUUGAGUGCAGAAGAGGAAAGUGGAAUUCCAUGUGUAGCGGUGAAAUGCGCAGAGAUAUGGAGGAACACCAGUGGCGAAGGCGACUUUCUGGUCUGUAACUGACGCUGAUGUGCGAAAGCGUGGGGAUCAAACAGGAUUAGAUACCCUGGUAGUCCACGCCGUAAACGAUGAGUGCUAAGUGUUAGGGGGUUUCCGCCCCUUAGUGCUGCAGCUAACGCAUUAAGCACUCCGCCUGGGGAGUACGACCGCAAGGUUGAAACUCAAAGGAAUUGACGGGGACCCGCACAAGCGGUGGAGCAUGUGGUUUAAUUCGAAGCAACGCGAAGAACCUUACCAAAUCUUGACAUCCUUUGACAACUCUAGAGAUAGAGCCUUCCUCUUCGGGGGACAAAGUGACAGGUGGUGCAUGGUUGUCGUCAGCUCGUGUCGUGAGAUGUUGGGUUAAGUCCCGCAACGAGCGCAGCCCUUAAGCUUAGUUGCCAUCAUUAAGUUGGGCACUCUAAGUUGACUGCCGGUGACAAACCGGAGGAAGGUGGGGAUGACGUCAAAUCAUCAUGCCCCUUAUGAUUUGGGCUACACACGUGCUACAAUGGACAAUACAAAGGGCAGCGAAACCGCGAGGUCAAGCAAAUCCCAUAAAGUUGUUCUCAGUUCGGAUUGUAGUCUGCAACUCGACUACAUGAAGCUGGAAUCGCUAGUAAUCGUAGAUCAGCAUGCUACGGUGAAUACGUUCCCGGGUCUUGUACACACCGCCCGUCACACCACGAGAGUUUGUAACACCCGAAGCCGGUGGAGUAACCUUUUAGGAGCUAGCCGUCGAAGGUGGGACAAAUGAUUGGGGUGAAGUCGUAACAAGGUAGCCGUAUCGGAAGGUGCGGCUGGAUCACCU